AGAGUUUGAUCCUGGCUCAGAAUGAACGCUGGCGGCGUGCUUUACACAUGCAAGUCGAACGGAAUCCAAGGAGCUUGCUCCUGAAGAUUUAGUGGCGAACGGGUGAGUAUCACGUGAGCAACCUGCCCCAAAGACUGGGAUAACACCGGGAAACCGGUGCUAAUACUGGAUACCUUUAUUUGAUCGCAUGAUCAGAUAAAGAAAUGUUUUUUCGCUUUGGGAGGGGCUCGCGGUCCAUCAGCUUGUUGGAGGGGUAACGGCCCACCAAGGCUACGACGGAUAGCUGGUCUGAGAGGACGAUCAGCCACACUGGGACUGAGACACGGCCCAGACUCCUACGGGAGGCAGCAGUGGGGAAUCUUGCGCAAUGGACGAAAGUCUGACGCAGCAACGCCGCGUGAGGGACGAAGGCUUUCUGAGUUGUAAACCUCUUUCGACAGGAACGAUAAUGACGGUACCUGUAGAAGAAGCACCGGCCAACUAUGUGCCAGCAGCCGCGGUGAUCAUAGGGUGCAAGCGUUAUUCGGAUUUAUUGGGCGUAAAGAGCUCGUAGGCGGUUCGAUUAGUCGGGUGUUAAACCCCCCAGGCUCAACCUGGGGCAGCCAUCCGAAACUGUCGUGACUAGAGUUUGGUAGGGGAUCACGGAAUUCC
Molecule: ribosomal RNA, 651 nt
Filed under: uncultured bacterium FukuS24
Lineage: Bacteria; Bacillati; Actinomycetota; Actinomycetes
Description: bacterial SSU rRNA
Rfam family: Bacterial small subunit ribosomal RNA
Source: RNAcentral